Molecule: long non-coding RNA, 682 nt
Filed under: Rosa chinensis
Lineage: Eukaryota; Viridiplantae; Streptophyta; Magnoliopsida; Rosales; Rosaceae
Description: sRNA RchiOBHm_Chr2g0134121
Source: RNAcentral
GGGAUUUCGAAUCACAAACAAAUCCUCUCCAUAACUCCUUCUUCCAUAAAUCUUUCUCCUUCACUGUUAUUCAAGUCGACACGAGCAUCAUUGUCGAUUUUGAGCAAAUUCAUCAGAACAAGGGACAGAGAGAGAGAGGAAGAAGGGAGAAAAGAAGAGGAGGGGGACGGGAAGCUCUCAGGGAAAUCAUCAGGCCGGGCAGUCCAACCCGAAGUUGUUGGUGGCCGUCCAGCAGGUGUGGAGUUUUCUGCAAAGAUUCAUGACUUUGUAGUUGAGGAUAAAGCCAAGUUCUACCCUUCUGUUAAAGAUGAUGUAUCCAUUACUAUAAUAGAAGCAAGCUCUCAUACUUUGGACAUGCGAGUAAGGCAUAUACAUUUCUGUAAUUGAAGAAUCCUAAUAUUGAUGACUAUAUACUUGAGUGAUGCAACUAUGGCUGAGGAUGCCUUAUUUGUUUGCAUGACUAUAAUGAUUGGGAGCUCAUAUUUCCUUUAACCUUCUUUGCGGGGACAGGGUAUAGUCUCUUCUAUCUCUACCUCUUAUGGCUCCUCCUAACUUUCUCCUUUUGUAUUAUUGGGAAGUGAUACAUUUCAAAACGGGGAUCCCUAUUUGAACCUUAUAAAAAAUCUCAGUAGUGAAAUGAAGCUUCUGAUACCUGCAUACAGGACAUUUAACUUUGAAAAUU